Long non-coding RNA from Aegilops tauschii subsp. strangulata, 565 nucleotides. RefSeq lists it as uncharacterized. NCBI's taxonomy places the organism in Eukaryota, Viridiplantae, Streptophyta, Magnoliopsida, Poales, Poaceae. The record is from RefSeq and is a predicted model, not a curated record.
UGGCAGAGCAGUGUCCGAGAGCGCGGCGCAAGCAGUGGCCCCUGCUAUGUGGGCUGAUGGGAGCACACCGUCCAAGCAGCACUUCCAAGUAUGACAAUGUCCGCUCUACACCAAGGUACGUGGGCACUCGUGCAAAGAUCUAACAUCUUCACCGACUAGGACUAAGUUUAGCUCUCCAUAUGGUGCCCAUUUUUUUACGGGUAAGGCAAGAGCUCUGCCAAUUCAUUAAAGUUGAGGGGAAACUGUAAAGAAGGCAUAAAAAGAAGAAGGAAAAGCGCCACAAAAUAAAUGGAGGUCUAAAUACUGGAUGAGAUUUUCAUUGCUGGCAUUCUUCAUGAACCUAUCAAGGAGAACAUUUCAAUACUAAUUGCUGCAAAGGUGUUCUCACCACCGGCUAGCAAGAAGAGAGUAUGAUUUUUCAGUGCUCACUGUUGUAAGCUUGAUUCACAAGGAGCUUCCCAAUGUUGUACAUGUAGUCUGUGAGUAACAGAAAUAAAACCUAUUUCUUCAUUCUUGUCUUGUACCUCCGUUUCAACUCCCCAAAACCAGUAGAGUUCAGUUACAU